Aquila chrysaetos chrysaetos is the source of this 151-nucleotide long non-coding RNA. RefSeq lists it as uncharacterized. The transcript is spliced from 3 exons. The record is from RefSeq and is a predicted model, not a curated record. Lineage: Eukaryota; Metazoa; Chordata; Aves; Accipitriformes; Accipitridae.
ACACAUUAGAUUCAAGAAUUAACAUAGAAUGUACUUUUGUGUAAUCUAAUAUAUGAUGGCAAGAAUCGUACUGCACAGAAUCACCUAAGAAGAGGUCAAGAGGCGGACAAGUGAGGAAGACUAUGGAAGACCACCAGAGGGCUUCUGAAGA